RNAcentral lists this ribosomal RNA (1197 nucleotides) under Triticum aestivum (bread wheat). Its description in RNAcentral is "partial small subunit ribosomal RNA". Lineage: Eukaryota; Viridiplantae; Streptophyta; Magnoliopsida; Poales; Poaceae. The record is from RNAcentral.
AUGCCGCGGAAACGGCGCACGGAAGCGCCUCCCCGCGGGGGCAAGAAGCGGAAGCCGGAGAAGGCGGCCGCAAUCCCUCACCAGAUCGCCCGUACCGGCAGCUGCGAUACGGAGCCUCCGUUGGUGUACCUGGUGGUCGGCCAUGACGUCACUCGCCCCGCCUACUCCAUAGUCAAGGUGAACCCCUUCUUCCCUCGCCGCCGCGCCCCGGUACCGAUCCCAGGACAUCUCGCACGCCUUGAGUCCAAGCACUGCAUGUCCUUCGUCGCCGUGCGGUCGAGGCACGGCCCGUGGAUCGUCGGCGUCGGCGGCAACGCACCCAUUGACUAUGGCCCCGAGACCAUUGUCUUCGACACCAGGACGCACCAGGUGAUCCCGGGACCGAAGCUCUUGUCGACCAAGUUCCGGCCCAUCCUGCUACCGGUCGGCGAGAAGAUCUAUGCCCUGACACGUGAUCCUGCCAUCAAGGGGGAGAUUAAUUUCGUGCCCUGGUUCGAGGUCCUCGACCUCUCCCAGGCGCGAGUGGUCAGUGGCCGUCUCGUGGACUGCAAAUGGGAGCAACUGCCCCGGCCGCCCUGCUUCCCCUGGGAGCUCUCCCCAAGGCACUACAUCUUCCCGCCGGUGGUCUGGGUCAGGUCCUUUGCAGCCGUGAGCUCCUGCAUUCUGGUGUCGACGGAUGAGCAGAAGGGCACGCACAUGUUCAACUUGGAGACAGAGCAAUGGGCGAAACUGGAUGACAAGGAUCUGCCAUUCACCGGAGGCGCCGCCCCUCAUGGCCCCCUCUUCCUUGGCUUUUCAACUGCCGCCAAAAAGAUCACCGCUUAUAAGAUCACAGUCUGCGCCGCCGACUCACCAAGCCCAAGCAUCACAGCAGGGUGCCCAUCCUUGUCAAUCGUUGAGUUCCCGAUGGUGGAUGAGGCAGGGGAGGAGGUCGUUAGCAAUGGCAAAUUUGUUUCCCUCGGUAACCAUGGCUUCUGUUCGUUUAGAUGUCGCACCGAUGACCUUGUGCUGGGUACUCUUGAGCAUACACGGGAACUUGUCACCAUGAGAACAUACGGAACAGAGGACCUCUCACAAGACCACCUCAAGUCUAUUCGCCAUGUAGUGAUCUCCAACCAAUUGGAACAGGUUUACAGCGUCCGCGAUUCACUCCGGGGACUUUCUUGGCCAUCCUUGGUAGAUGUGAUAUCCCUGUGA